AUGAGGGUUUUCAAUGAGAUUUCUUCCUAUAGAAUAAGGACGGAUUCAUUUGUUUUUGGAAAUAUAAAGAUAUAUUUAUGUGACAAUUCUAGCUUUAGAGAAAAUUUAUAGGCAAGUUAAAAAGUUGGGAGAAGAACUAAAGGAAGUUAAAGGAUUGCUCAAACAAUCAAGGCAUUCCUCAGGUGUUCCUAGUUUACCCAAUAAUCUACCAGUUGAACUUCCCUUAAAUUCUCAAGAAAAUUUACAAAUAUUAGAACACUAUCUAGGUGAAGAGGAAGCAUUUAAUAAUUUGGCCUUAUAUCUUUCAACACUUGGAGGUAAUGGCAUGGUAUCCUGUGUAAAUAAAAUUCUAAGACUUCUUCUAUCAGAUAUCUUAGCAACUGCUUAUAACUUUGCUGGGCAACGGAGUAAACAAGCAUUCGGAACAGCAAAACUUAAUUCUCUGGUGAUAAGAGCUAUACAAGUUACAUCCCCAUUAACAACUAAAGCAGAAAUUGAAAAUGCAGUCAAAACUUGACUGAAGCAUGCCAAGCAAAGAAUUGAUAAAAAAAGAAAGUCAUAUUGAUGAUGUUUUUUUAUGUGUCAUAUAGUGCAAUUUAUUUUGUAAGUAAACUUAUUCAUGUUAAAAAUAUUAAAACGAAAACAAAAAGAAUUUGUUGGGCCAAGACAAAAGUCUAGGCGAGCUUUAAAAGCUUCACAAGAUUUUGCUAAUACAAUAAAUGGGGAUGUUGCUAAUAAUAAUUCAUCUCAAAAUGCUAUUGUAGGACAUAUUUCUGAUAAACAGAUUGUCAUUAAAAAUGUCACAUUAAUUGCAGACAAAAAGAAUGAGCAUACUUUAUCUAAAGUCUCUACCAGUAGUUGUAGUGAUACAUCUCUCUUAAAUUCUUCACUCUCAAUUUCUAGUCAAAAUUCUUCACCUGAGGAAAAAAGUGUUCUUCCUGAACAGUUAAUUCAAUGGGCAACUUUAAAACAUAAAAUAUCUCAUUCUGCUUUGACAGAUCUUCUUCAUAUACUUUCACCCUACCAUCCUGAACUCCCUUUAAGUAGCCGUACUUUAUUGGCGACUCCUAAUUUUACCGAUAUGAACAAAUUGGAAACAGGUGACCUUUGUUAUUUUGGUAUUGAAAAUGCUCUCAAAAAAAUUGUUUUGCAUUCCCCUAUUGAUAGGCAACCUCAAAUAUGU
This is a long non-coding RNA of Anthonomus grandis grandis, 1183 nucleotides long. RefSeq lists it as uncharacterized. The transcript is spliced from 3 exons. Lineage: Eukaryota; Metazoa; Arthropoda; Insecta; Coleoptera; Curculionidae. The record is from RefSeq and is a predicted model, not a curated record.